Molecule: ribosomal RNA, 484 nt
Filed under: uncultured bacterium
Lineage: Bacteria
Description: partial 16S ribosomal RNA
Rfam family: Bacterial small subunit ribosomal RNA
Source: RNAcentral
AUUGAACGCUGGCGGCAUGCUUUACACAUGCAAGUCGAACGGCAGCGCGGGCUUCGGCCUGGCGGCGAGUGGCGAACGGGUGAGUAAUACAUCGGAACGUGCCCAGUAGCGGGGGAUAGCUCGGCGACAGCCGGAUUAAUACCGCAUACGACCUGAGGGUGAAAGCGGGGGAUCUUCGGACCUCGCGCUCUUGGAGCGGCCGAUGGCAGAUUAGCUAGUUGGUGGGGUAAAGGCCUACCAAGGCGACGAUCUGUAGCUGGUCUGAGGGGACGACCAGCCACACUGGGACUGAGACACGGCCCAGACUCCUACGGGAGGCAGCAGUGGGGAAUUUUGGACAAUGGGCGAAAGCCUGAUCCAGCAAUGCCGCGUGUGUGAUGAAGGCCUUCGGGUUGUAAAGCACUUUUGGCGGGAACGAAAAGGACUGUGCCAAUACCACGGUUCGAUGACGGUACCCGCAGAAUAAGCACCGGCUAACUACGUG